This 213-nucleotide unclassified non-coding RNA is filed under the name plant metagenome. RNAcentral describes it as "partial contains small subunit ribosomal RNA, internal transcribed spacer 1, and 5.8S ribosomal RNA". The record is from RNAcentral.
AUUCCGUAGGUGAACCUGCGGAAGGAUCAUUCAUAAUAAGUGUUUUAUGGCACUUUUUUAAAUCCAUAUCCACCUUGUGUGCAAUGUCAGGGUUGAUUUUUCUCUCGAGAGGAUCAACCCCAAACAUCAACUAUAUCUCAACUCUUUGUCUGAAAAAUAUUAUGAAUAAAACAAUUCAAAAUACAACUUUCAACAACGGAUCUCUUGGCUCUU